CUCUAUCAAUAAAUACAACCUCAUCGUGGUGAUAGAGUCUAGUAACAUGUUAAAAACAAAAAUCUUCCUGGUUUGCAUGUGAAGCUAAUGUAUU
RNAcentral lists this non-coding RNA (94 nucleotides) under unclassified sequences. The record is from RNAcentral.